RNAcentral lists this ribosomal RNA (435 nucleotides) under uncultured Sphingobacterium sp. RNAcentral's name for it is "bacterial SSU rRNA". It matches the Rfam family "Bacterial small subunit ribosomal RNA", at positions 9 to 438 of the family's 1533-position model. The record is from RNAcentral. Lineage: Bacteria; Pseudomonadati; Bacteroidota; Sphingobacteriia; Sphingobacteriales; Sphingobacteriaceae.
GAGUUUGAUCGUGGCUCAGGAUGAACGCUAGCGGCAGGCUUAAUACAUGCAAGUCGAGGGGCAGCAGGUCUGUAGCAAUACAGAUGCUGGCGACCGGCAAACGGGUGCGGAACACGUACAGAACCUUCCUUUAAGUGGGGAUAGCCCAGGGAAACUUGGAUUAUACCCCGUAAUAUAAUAGAGUGGCAUCACUUUAUUAUUAUAGCUCCGGCGCUUGAAGAUGGCUGUGCGGCUGAUUAGGUAGUUGGCGGGGUAACGGCCCACCAAGCCUACGAUCAGUAACUGGUGUGAGAGCACGACCAGUCACACGGGCACUGAGACACGGGCCCGACUCCUACGGGAGGCAGCAGUAAGGAAUAUUGGGCAAUGGACGCAAGUCUGACCCAGCCAUGCCGCGUGGAGGAUGAAGGUCCUCUGGAUUGUAAACUUCUUUUA